AUUGAACGCUGGCGGCAUGCCUUACACAUGCAAGUCGAACGGUAACGGGCCUUCGGGUGCCGACGAGUGGCGAACGGGUGAGUAAUACAUCGGAACGUGCUCGAUCGUGGGGGAUAACGAGGCGAAAGCUUUGCUAAUACCGCGUACGAUCUACGGAUGAAAGCAGGGGACCGCAAGGCCUUGCGCGGACGGAGCGGCCGAUGGCAGAUUAGGUAGUUGGUGGGAUAAAAGCUUACCAAGCCGACGAUCUGUAGCUGGUCUGAGAGGAUGAUCAGCCACACUGGGACUGAGACACGGCCCAGACUCCUACGGGAGGCAGCAGUGGGGAAUGUUGGACAAUGGGCGCAAGCCUGAUCCAGCCAUGCCGCGUGCAGGAUGAAGGCCUUCGGGUUGUAAACUGCUUUUGUACGGAACGAAAAGCCUUCUUUUAAUACAGGGGGGUCAUGACGGUACCGUAAGAAUAAGCACCGGCUAACUACGUG
Molecule: ribosomal RNA, 482 nt
Filed under: uncultured bacterium
Lineage: Bacteria
Description: partial 16S ribosomal RNA
Rfam family: Bacterial small subunit ribosomal RNA
Source: RNAcentral